GACGAACGCUGGCGGCGUGCUUAACACAUGCAAGUCGAACGGUGAAGCGCCUUCCUUUUGGUGGGUGUGGAUGAGUGGCGAACGGGUGAGUAACACGUGAGUAACCUGCCCCCUUCUUCUGGAUAACCGCAUGAAAGUGUGGCUAAUACGGGAUAUUCUGGGUCUGUCGCAUGAUGGGUCUGGGAAAGAUAUUGUUUCGGUGGGGGAUGGGCUCGCGGCCUAUCAGCUUGUUGGUGGGGUGAUGGCCUACCAAGGCGGUGACGGGUAGCCGGCCUGAGAGGGUGGACGGUCACACUGGGACUGAGACACGGCCCAGACUCCUACGAGAGGCAGCAGUGGGGAAUAUUGCACAAUGGGCGCAAGCCUGAUGCAGCGACGCCGCGUGAGGGAUGGAGGCCUUCGGGUUGUGAACCUCUUUCGCCAGUGAAGCAGGCCUGCCUCGUUUGUGGGUGGGUUGACGGUAGCUGGAUAAGAAGCGCCGGCUAACUACGUG
Molecule: ribosomal RNA, 493 nt
Filed under: uncultured bacterium
Lineage: Bacteria
Description: partial 16S ribosomal RNA
Rfam family: Bacterial small subunit ribosomal RNA
Source: RNAcentral